Molecule: transfer RNA, 73 nt
Filed under: Rhizobiales bacterium GAS191
Lineage: Bacteria; Pseudomonadati; Pseudomonadota; Alphaproteobacteria; Hyphomicrobiales
Also listed under: 4 other names
Description: tRNA_Asn_GTT
Rfam family: tRNA
About the family: Transfer RNA (tRNA) molecules are approximately 80 nucleotides in length. Their secondary structure includes four short double-helical elements and three loops (D, anti-codon, and T loops).
Source: RNAcentral
UCCCCGAUAGCUCAGUUGGUAGAGCGCGCGGCUGUUAACCGCUAGGUCGUAGGUUCGAGUCCUACUCGGGGAG